Molecule: long non-coding RNA, 1397 nt
Organism: Orcinus orca (killer whale)
Lineage: Eukaryota; Metazoa; Chordata; Mammalia; Artiodactyla; Delphinidae
Exons: 3
Source: RefSeq, a predicted model, not a curated record
UCCCGACAGAAUCCCGAGCCUCAGCUCCCAGCCCCACCCACCCCGGCGGGUGAGCAAACAAGCCUCUCGGGCUGGUGAGUGCCGGCACCAAUCGUCUGUGUGGGAAUCUCUCCACUUUGCCCUCCCCACCCCUGUUGCUGUGCUCUCCUCUGCGGCUCCGAAGUUUCCCCCCUCCGCCACUCGCAGUCUCCGCCCGGGAAGGGGCUUCCUAGUGUGUGGAAACCUUUCCUACGUCACAGCUCCCUCCCACUGGUGCAGGUCCCGUCCCUAUUCUUUUGUCUCUGUUUUUUCUUUUGCCCUACCCAGGUACGUGGGGAAUUUCUUGCCUUUUGGGAGGUCUGAGGUCUUCUGCCAGCGUUCAGUAGGUUUUCUGUAGGUGUUGUUCCACAGGUACAUGUAUUUCUGGUGUAUCUGUGGGGGGGAAGGUGAUCUCCGCAUCUUACUCUUCCGCCAUCUUCCCCUCGUCUGUAUCAUUUGCUUUUGAAAUGUUUGGAAGAAUUCACCAGUGAAGCUAUAUGGUCCUGGAGAUUUCUUUUUGGAUAGGUUCUUAUUUAAAGAUUCAAUUUCUUUAAUACGUAUGAGACUAUUCAGAUUUUCUGUUUCCUCUUGGAUCCAUGUAGAUAGUUUUGUUUUUCAAGGAAUUUUUCCCAUUUUAUAUAAACUGCCAAAUUUAUUGGCAACCUGAUUUCCAGUUUUACCAACCAUUCUUUUGCAUCAUCAAUGCAAAUAUCCAAACAGUGGAAAAGACACCUGAGCAAGAAUCAAAGCUGUGUCAUCACACUGUAUUAGCAUUCAUUAAUUCUUCAACUGCACAUAUUCAUAGUAAAAGGAAGAAAAAGAAAACAAAAAUACUUCACUGAAGAAUAUCCUACAUGAAGCAGUUAAAAUUAAUUUUAUCAGAGCUGAACCAUUGAGCAUAUGUAUGUUUAAUAUUCUGCGUGAUGAGGUUAUCAGAAAGUUUAUGAACUGCAUAUCUAUAAAUAAUUUUGAGCCCCUGGAAGACAAAUGUACCCUUGAUAAGAAGUUCCUGUGAAAAGAAUCUAAGCAUAAUAAUUGAGCUUCUGGUCAAAGCAUUGAAAGGGAAUCAAGAGAUCUGGGUGCUGGUGCCUGUUCAUCACUAGCUCUGGGAAUUUGGUUCUGCAGGAACAUCAGACCAGGUUAAUGUCAAUCAGAGUCAACUGACCAAGAAAAAAGAAGUUUCGUAACCUCCCUCAGACCACCACCAGUGCCCAGCUGCUUGAGGCUAUUGCUCACCACCUGACCUUACCUCCUCCUGCUUCUCCCUUCACUAGCAUAAAAGAAGCAUGAAUUAUACCCCAAAUUAAUAUGGUUCUUUAGGCCAUUAGUCCGCCACCUUCUUGGUCUGCUGGCUUUCCAAAUAAAGUCAAGAUUCCUUG